Molecule: transfer RNA, 68 nt
Filed under: Sepietta oweniana
Lineage: Eukaryota; Metazoa; Mollusca; Cephalopoda; Sepiida; Sepiolidae
Description: tRNA-Leu
Source: RNAcentral
AUUAGAAUGGCAGAUCAGUGCAUAGGAUUUAAGCUUCUAUUAGGAAAUAUUAAAUAUUUCUUCUAAUA